AGGCAGACAGCAAAUCAGUCGGCCGAGGAGGUGCUGCGUUCUGCUGCCUGUUUGGAGAGGAACCACGCUACCAGAGAACAGGAUGUAUCCCCUGCUGAGCACCCCUGCUCUGGCUGGGAGAGGCCCCUUGUCCAGAGCCAGGGAAUCUCUUCUUGACCUCAUCAGACCAUGAGAAGGGUUCCUGAUCUCCUAGACCCUGUCUGAGAUGGGAAAAGGAUGAAAACACAACUGUAUGAUCUAUAUGUAAGCAUCUGCUUUACAGUCCCUUAAUACGAUGCAGCACUGUGGACAAGCCCGAGUCCUGAGUAUAUAGAGGAGAAUGAGCAAAUGGACAAAGCCACAACUGCUUGCUCACCACUGCCCUCGCUGCCCCAGCCUCUGGCAACCUCACAAGCUGAUCACUCCAACACUGGAAAGCAAACAGCUGUGAGCACAGAUGAAACCAGACAUUCCCCUUUUGAUCAGCCACUGGCCAGAGAGAUUUGUUGCCAUGUGAAGGAAGGCCCAAAACUUCUAUUUGAACACUUGUGGCUGCAGGGAAAGCAACAUUAACAUCUUCAUUUCUAAGCAGGAAGAAAAAAAUAGAGCUGUAGCAUUCUUGUGAUGCAAGGUGUCUGCCUGCGGUGGGGAUGGCCCUGGUGAGGGAUUUAGUUCCAAUGCAAAGGGAAGCAUUAGUUAAUGAGAUCUGAGCUCCUGUAUCAAGCAGACAGAGGAUGUCUCUAGCAGGAUGACUGUAAUUACGCAGAGUGGGGUGGGCUUCUCUGUCUGAAGCUGCCUUCAGUCAGGGGUCUCCUUGAAAUGUCUGCGGUGGUCCGGGGAAAGGUGGGAGCUGGCAAUGGAAUGGAAUCAUGUUGGAAGAUCUUCUCACCUGUCCUUUUCCUCACACUGUAGCAAGCUUUAGGACUUCUCCUUUCAAACGCCAUAGAAGCCUUCCUGCCAGGUACUGCAGGUACCAAAAUGAGUCAGUGCUGUGCUGCAGAUGGGGAAAAUUCAGGGGUCUGCCCUCGGCUGUGCACUGAGGAUGUUUUCGUUACCCCAGACAGAGGGGUUCUCCUGGGCAUGUGAGAUCCCUGCUUUGCACAGGGACCUUCUGGUGCUUCUCAGCAGCUGUCAGCUUGUGGCUCCCAUGAGAACAACUCUGCCUGUGGGAUUGCAGCAUUUUGGUUUCACUCCAGGACGGAUCCAGAAGCAGAGACAUGUCAGGAAAAUCUGUGGAGUUUCCCAUCCUGUUAGACAGCAUUGCAGACAUGCAACUGUGAGGAGAAAAUCCCUGUUUGCGUGUAUCACAACAGCUUGCUGGUUCCCCCCAGGCUGUCACCUGGGCCAUGAGCACCUCUGCUUUCCUCUCCUAGCAGCGAGCAGCCUCGGUUCGACCCACCAUUGCGGUCUCCUGCCACCACACAGCCACCCCGACCCCAGGCAGUGCUUCAUGCCACCCCCAGGCCUCCACAGGGGCAGGUUGACCCCAUCUUCACAUUAAGGUGUGCUAGGAACAUAGAUGCGACAACAUCAGCCUGGGACGGGAUGGCCCAGCCGAGCUGGUGGGGUGCCGUGGGGGCUGUGCAGAGGCCUUCCUGUGUGCCCUGCGGACACCUUCCUGCCUACAACAGGCCUUGUAAUGAUGAGAGGUAAUGGCCUUAAUGGCCUCAAGAUGGGAGGUACGGGUUGUAUAUUAGUAACAAUUUCUUCUCUGAAAGAGCAGUGAGGCACUGACACAGCUGCUCAGGGAGGGGGGGGAGUCACCAUCCCUGGAGGUGUCCAAGAAUCAUGGAGAUGAGCACUGAGGGACAUGGGCAGAGGACACGGUGCAGCUUCCUGAAAGACUUGUGAGCUGACCCAGGAGUACUUCGCUUCCCCUGGGAGCACAGAGCCAGUUCCAAGCAGCAUGAGGGCUGGAAAACAUCAGGAAUCCUUCCAGACAAUGCAGACACCGCGGCCAAUAAAAAACUGGUGUUGAGCUUCCUCUUGGCUGCAGAGUAGGAGGAGAGCAUCAGGAGCAGAUGGCCCGUCAGCACGAGCAUCGCCCCAGCCCAGCCCGCAUUCCACACUCACUGCAUCUCCAUUCUUGCCAAGCAUGAUCGAUGCAUCUCUUCCUGCCUGAGCAGGGAGAUAAUAUUCAUCACACUUGGUUUAUGAGGAAUACAAGUAUCAAGAGGAUGGAUGACUUGACUGACGACACAACAGGAAGUUUGCGGCAGCACUUGGAAAUUGGUUUGGGUUUCCUAAAUCACAGACAGAAGCUUUAAUCACAA
This is a long non-coding RNA of Gallus gallus (chicken), 2252 nucleotides long. RefSeq lists it as uncharacterized. The record is from RefSeq and is a predicted model, not a curated record. The transcript is spliced from 2 exons. Lineage: Eukaryota; Metazoa; Chordata; Aves; Galliformes; Phasianidae.